Molecule: microRNA precursor, 67 nt
Filed under: Camponotus floridanus (Florida carpenter ant)
Lineage: Eukaryota; Metazoa; Arthropoda; Insecta; Hymenoptera; Formicidae
Description: mir-2 microRNA precursor family
Rfam family: mir-2 microRNA precursor family
About the family: The miRNAs are transcribed as ~70nt precursors (modelled here) and subsequently processed by the Dicer enzyme to give a ~22nt product.
Source: Rfam by way of RNAcentral
UUGCUCACAAAGUGGCUGUAAUAUGCUGAUGUAACGAUCAUAUCACAGCCAGCUUUGAUGAGCGUUG